AACCGCAUGGUUCAAAAGUGAAAGACGGUCUUGCUGUCACUUAUAGAUGGAUCCGCGCUGCAUUAGCUAGUUGGUAAGGUAACGGCUUACCAAGGCAACGAUGCAUAGCCGACCUGAGAGGGUGAUCGGCCACACUGGAACUGAGACACGGUCCAGACUCCUACGGGAGGCAGCAGUAGGGAAUCUUCCGCAAUGGGCGAAAGCCUGACGGAGCAACGCCGCGUGAGUGAUGAAGGUCUUCGGAUCGUAAAACUCUGUUAUUAGGGAAGAACAUAUGUGUAAGUAACUGUGCACAUCUUGACGGUACCUAAUCAGAAAGCCACGGCUAACUACGUGCCAGCAGCCGCGGUAAUACGUAGGUGGCAAGCGUUAUCCGGAAUUAUUGGGCGUAAAGCGCGCGUAGGCGGUUUUUUAAGUCUGAUGUGAAAGCCCACGGCUCAACCGUGGAGGGUCAUUGGAAACUGGAAAACUUGAGUGCAGAAGAGGAAAGUGGAAUUCCAUGUGUAGCGGUGAAAUGCGCAGAGAUAUGGAGGAACACCAGUGGCGAAGGCGACUUUCUGGUCUGUAACUGACGCUGAUGUGCGAAAGCGUGGGGAUCAAACAGGAUUAGAUACCCUGGUAGUCCACGCCGUAAACGAUGAGUGCUAAGUGUUAGGGGGUUUCCGCCCCUUAGUGCUGCAGCUAACGCAUUAAGCACUCCGCCUGGGGAGUACGACCGCAAGGUUGAAACUCAAAGGAAUUGACGGGGACCCGCACAAGCGGUGGAGCAUGUGGUUUAAUUCGAAGCAACGCGAAGAACCUUACCAAAUCUUGACAUCCUUUGACAACUCUAGAGAUAGAGCCUUCCCCUUCGGGGGACAAAGUGACAGGUGGUGCAUGGUUGUCGUCAGCUCGUGUCGUGAGAUGUUGGGUUAAGUCCCGCAACGAGCGCAACCCUUAAGCUUAGUUGCCAUCAUUAAGUUGGGCACUCUAAGUUGACUGCCGGUGACAAACCGGAGGAAGGUGGGGAUGACGUCAAAUCAUCAUGCCCCUUAUGAUUUGGGCUACACACGUGCUACAAUGGACAAUACAAAGGGCAGCGAAACCGCGAGGUCAAGCAAAUCCCAUAAAGUUGUUCUCAGUUCGGAUUGUAGUCUGCAACUCGACUACAUGAAGCUGGAAUCGCUAGUAAUCGUAGAUCAGCAUGCUACGGUGAAUACGUUCCCGGGUCUUGUACACACCGCCCGUCACACCACGAGAGUUUGUAACACCCGAAGCCGGUGGAGUAACCUUUUAGGAGCUAGCCGUCGAAGGUGGGACAAAUGAUUGGGGUGAAGUCGUAACAAGGUAGCCGUAUCGGAAGGGGCGGCUGGAUCACCUCCUUUCUAAGGA
Molecule: ribosomal RNA, 1371 nt
Filed under: Staphylococcus aureus
Lineage: Bacteria; Bacillati; Bacillota; Bacilli; Caryophanales; Staphylococcaceae
Description: bacterial SSU rRNA
Rfam family: Bacterial small subunit ribosomal RNA
Source: RNAcentral